GAGCGAGCAAGCCAGGGAGCAAGCCGGGGAGGAGCAGGGAAGGAGUCCGUCCACCAGCAGGCCAAGACUAGAAGUCUUCACCACUCUCUGCAUCUUCAGCAGGUAUCACCAAUAAGGCACAGAGAUCCACUGACAUCAAAUUGUUGCUGCUGGCUAUUUCUCAUUCAGGAGAGAGAACAAACAGCUCAAGAGAGAUGAAAAAGAGAAAAUUUCCAAACGCAGAAAGCAGUGGCCGUCGCGUCUGUUUCCAAGACAAGAAUGCAGUGCAAGCAACAGGUCCAUAUGAUCGAGAGAAGAAGGCUGGAAUUACAUGGCCCUCACCUCCUCUCCAUACUCCAGUGCAACAGGAACCCUUGGAAGGGAGCAGCACCACCAGUGGUCAACAUCAGUACUACAGUCCUCACAAGAGCCACUUCCAUGAGAAAGACACUAAAGAUCCUUCCUUGAGACCAGAUGG
Long non-coding RNA from Conger conger (European conger), 457 nucleotides. RefSeq lists it as uncharacterized. The transcript is spliced from 7 exons. The record is from RefSeq and is a predicted model, not a curated record. NCBI's taxonomy places the organism in Eukaryota, Metazoa, Chordata, Actinopteri, Anguilliformes, Congridae.